Molecule: small RNA, 2425 nt
Filed under: Pan troglodytes (chimpanzee)
Lineage: Eukaryota; Metazoa; Chordata; Mammalia; Primates; Hominidae
Description: processed transcript
Source: RNAcentral
UUUUAGUAGAGACAGGGUUUUGCCAUGUUGGCCAGGUUGGUCUCAAACCCCUGACCUCAGGUGAUCCACCCGCCUUGCCCUCCCAAAGUGCUGGGAUUACAGGCAUGAGUCACUGCUCCUGGCCCCAGAAUUCUUUAUGUGAGAAGGAGUUUCUGUGAUUUUAACUGCUAUUGUAAUAGAAACCAGUUGAUUCUGAAGAGUCACCUCUUUUCCUGGAAAUAUUUUGGCUGUGAGUUAAGAGGAACAUUAUUUUCUCCCAUGCUGGUGACUUUGGAAAGGGGUUGUCAUCAGUGCAAUGAACUUGGUCUGGGACUUCCUUCCUUCCCCAUGGACUGGGCCCCUGGGUCCUCUGUUGCUUCUGGGAGGGGCCUUGGGAGUACAGUUUACUCUAGGCCAGGACAUUCUAAGACAUGUGGAAACCAUUGGUCACACCUUCCAGCAACAGAGAUUAGUUUGUAAAUGUCUGUUUCAGGUGUUUCACAACAUCUAUUGAAUGACCAUUGCUCCCAUACCAGAUUCUGGUGACCUGAUCUUAGGCUUGACAGCUGUGGUGGAGACUUGGGUUGGCAGAAGCCUACCUUGGUGUGUUGGAAGAGUGAUUGCUUAGUGCAUGAGGUGCCUUUUACAGCCCAUUUUGCAGUAGUUCUGGCUGCAGCCCUGCUGCUUUGACCUUGCAGGCCAAAUUUCCUGGCUCCUCCAAAGGGGAUGAUGUUCUUUCCCUCCAGACACAGUUAGAGGGAAUCCUGACAGUUGCAUCAAGGCUGGUCCAGACUGUCACCACACUUUCUCUUUUGUGCUGCUUGGUCCUGACUGCCUUUUGAAUCUCUUUUAGAGCUCUGAGCUCUUCACCCUGACCUAUGGUGCCCUGGUCACCCAGCUAUGUAAGGACUAUGAAAAUGAUGAAGAUGUGAAUAAACAGCUGGACAAAAUGGGCUUUAACAUUGGAGUCCGGCUGAUUGAAGAUUUCUUGGCUCGGUCAAAUGUUGGGAGGUGCCAUGACUUUCGGGAAACUGCGGAUGUCAUUGCCAAGGUGGCGUUCAAGAUGUACUUGGGCAUCACUCCAAGCAUUACUAAUUGGAGCCCAGCUGGUGAUGAAUUCUCCCUCAUUUUGGAAAAUAACCCCUUGGUGGACUUUGUGGAACUUCCUGAUAACCACUCAUCCCUUAUUUAUUCCAAUCUCUUGUGUGGGGUGUUGCGGGGAGCUUUGGAGAUGGUGAGUGCAACUCUUUAUCUUCUGGGACACCCGAAAUGCAAUAGGGACUUGAUAAGUGUUUAAAUGAAUGAAAGAGAGAAAAGAAAGGGCUUUGGCUCACCCCAGUGCUUUACUGCCUGAGAUGGUGAUGCUGCUGAGGUAGGAUCCAAGUCGGACAUCUUUACAUGGUGAUACUCCUCCAUACCAGGCUGGAAGGUGGUGCUGUCAGUCCCCAAAGCCCAGGAACACCCAUUCUCAGAUAGGCUUAUUUGGUGACAGUCUCAUUCUUGGGUAUUCUUUGCUAAGUUUCUCCUUAAGGGUUGGAGCCAUUGUCUUAUGCAACGGAAUGUUGGCGCUGUCAAUCCUGUCCUUGUGGGAAACCAGCCCCCCUUUUUUGGCUGCUGUGGAUGAGUCAGUUAUGCCCCAUCCCCACUGGUUCCCUAGAGGCUGUGGCCAGGCAGCUACCCCUUCAUUUUCCCACUGUCCCCCAGGUCCAGAUGGCUGUGGAGGCCAAGUUUGUCCAGGACACCCUGAAAGGAGACGGUGUGACAGAAAUCCGGAUGAGAUUCAUCAGGCGGAUUGAGGACAAUCUUCCAGCUGGAGAGGAAUAACCAUCCCUACAACUCGAGGAUAGCCAUCAGGAGCACUGUUGGAAUCAGCAGGCCUCUGUGCUCCCUCUGCCCUCCAGAACUCAGUGACUCUUGAACAUGGAUGUUAUAUAUUCUUAUAACCUGUUUCCAUUCUCCAUUCAAAUAAAGAGCAGACUGCGAUAUAGUCCAUUUACCCCAUGUGUGCACAUUCAGGAGCGACAGUCUCUGCCCCCAUUCCCUUGAAAGGGGCUGGAUGUAAUCACCCUUGGUUGGACUAGAAAGAGCUCAAACCAUUUUACAUUCCUGUUUGAAUUUUUCCAAAGCAAAACUCACUUUGACCCCAUUAAGAGGCAAGCCUGGCACAUCUAUCCCUGGGCCUUUAGAAAGCCAUUUGCCUCAAAUGGCUAUAGGGUUGUGGGGUGGAGGGAGGAAGGGCUGGGAGGGAGUGGGGAGGGAUUGCUAGCUGUAGUGUGACACAUUGUAGUGUUUGCCAGGAAAGGAGCCAGUCAUGCCGGAAACACUGACUUCUGGGAAGCCACCCAGGUCUCAUUCCUCCCUGCUGUUGGAGGCAACAUCUCCUCUUUUUACAGAGGGUACAUCCUUUUUUCUUACAAAUUCUUCAAUAAAGACACAUUCUUGAGUG